RNAcentral lists this ribosomal RNA (254 nucleotides) under uncultured bacterium. RNAcentral's name for it is "partial 16S ribosomal RNA". It matches the Rfam family "Bacterial small subunit ribosomal RNA", at positions 524 to 776 of the family's 1533-position model. The record is from RNAcentral.
UACGUAGGGGGCAAGCGUUGUCCGGAAUCAUUGGGCGUAAAGAGCGCGUAGGUGGUUCGGUAAGUCAGGUGUGAAACCUCCAGGCUCAACCUGGAGACGCCACUUGAUACUGCUGUGACUGGAGUCCGGUAGGGGAGCGUGGAAUUCCUGGUGUAGCGGUGAAAUGCGCAGAUAUCAGGAGGAACACCAGCGGCGAAGGCGGCGCUCUGGGCCGGUACUGACGCUGAGACGCGAAAGCGUGGGGAGCGAACAGG